RNAcentral lists this ribosomal RNA (645 nucleotides) under uncultured Actinomycetes bacterium. RNAcentral describes it as "bacterial SSU rRNA". It matches the Rfam family "Bacterial small subunit ribosomal RNA", at positions 847 to 1492 of the family's 1533-position model. Lineage: Bacteria; Bacillati; Actinomycetota; Actinomycetes. The record is from RNAcentral.
CGUAGCUAACGCGUUAAGUGAUCCGCCUGGGGAGUACGGCCGCAAGGCUUAAAACUCAAAGGAAUGACGGGGACCCGCACAAGCAGCGGAGCAUGUGGAUUAAUUCGACGCAACGCAAAGAACCUUACCUGGGCUUGACAUACCUCUGACCGCCAUGGAAACAUGGCUUCCCUUCGGGGCAGAGAUACAGGUGGUGCAUGGCUGUCGUCAGCUCGUGUCGUGAGAUGUUGGGUUGAGUCCCGCAACGAGCGCAACCCCCGUCUAUGUUGCCAGCAUUCAGUUGGGGACUCAUAGGAGACUGCCGGUGACAAACCGGAGGAAGGUGGGGAUGACGUCAAGUCAUCAUGCCCCUUAUGUCCGGGGCUACACACGUGCUACAUUGGCGCGUACAGAGGGUUGCGAUACCGUGAGGUGGAGCGAAUCCCUUAAAGCGCGUCUCGGUUCGGAUUGUAGGCUGAAACUCGCCUACAUGAAGGCGGAGUUGCUAGUAAUCGCGGAUCAGCAUUGCCGCGGUGAAUACGUUCCCGGGCCUUGUACACACCGCCCGUCACACCACGGGAGUGAGCAACACCCGAAGCCGGUGGCCUAACCCGCAAGGGGGGGAGCCGUCGAAGGUGGGGCUCGUGACUGGGGUGAAGUCGUAAC